Long non-coding RNA from Bos taurus (domestic cattle), 5294 nucleotides. Lineage: Eukaryota; Metazoa; Chordata; Mammalia; Artiodactyla; Bovidae. The record is from Ensembl.
GUUAAAGGACGGGACCGGACGACCGGAACCAUGGGAGGAAGAGCAGGCAGGCUGCAGGAGAGGAAGGAGGAAGGAACCACAGGAGAGGGUGUGGCGUGAGGCCGAUGGAAACCACAGCUAUCUGUUGGGCAGGAAAGAGAAACCAGAUACAGCUUCCUGGGCAAUGGAACUUCAGAGACAAGCACAGAGUUUGCUGUCAACUCCAGGAGGCUGAAGCCACCAUUCCCGCAGCCUUUGGGGGUGAGUUUAUCUCAGAGGACUGGCUGUUUGUCAGGGCUUGGGUCUCUUCCUUCUCUUGGCUGUUUACCUUCUUGCUACUUUCCUAUUAACAGUACAGCCUGGAAAAUGAAGGGAGCAGGAAGGGAGGCUCAUUUCAGUCCAUUUGGCUUCUUGUUUGAUUAUCUAAAGGACCGGAUGGCUGCUGCAGAAAGUGACUUCAUCGAGGAUGGGGUCGCAGGGCUCCAAGCCCUCAUGCGGAGCCAGGCACAGGGCGGGUCAUGGGCUUACACCACCCCUGUCGGUAAUGGCAGGGCCAGUCUCCUGCUGUCCUGCUACAGCCCCCAGCCUGCUUCCAUUCCUGACCUACUGCUCCCAGGAUAAUUGAGAAAUGAGUGAUGGGAGCUGCAGGCUUCUGCUGGUUGUCGAGAGCUGUGAUAGCUGCUCAUAAACUUCUACAGUGUCUGCACUUUCCUCUAAAACAACAGCACGGUCAGCCUUGUGCAUGUUUGUGUUGUAUAAAAAUGACCUCACUCUUUUUUUUUUUUGGCCAUACUGCAUGGCUUGUGGGAUCUUAGUUCCCUGACCUGGGAUUGAACCCAGGCCCUCAGCAGUGAAAGCGUGGAGUUCUAACCACUGGACCACCAGGGAUGUCCCAAAGACCAGUUUUCUUAUUUGCGAUGAGAUUUGAUUGCAAAUAAGAUAAAAAGCGAGAUGCUUUUAUAACACACAAGCCUGUUUCUUUUUUAUGAUAGGGCUCCAUGGACCUAGCACUGCUGGUGAAUUGGCGUGGAUGCCGCUAAGUGCUGCGCUCAUUCUUGCGAUCUGUCUCUAUCCCAUUCUGGAGCAGUGACCAAGCCCUCAGGGGCCUCCUGCUGCAGACAACCCUUUCAGGGAGGCUGUUUAGAGCCCCACAGAAACCGUGCCACCAGCCACGGAGCAGUGCUGCCUGAAGCAGAGAGCAGAGAGCCUGAGUCAGAGAGCAGAAGGCAAAGUUGCCCGCUUCCCCAACUUGUGAGCUGUGUGAAUUUGGGUCGAGCACUUAACCGGUCUGUGCCUCAGUUACUGCAUCUAGCAAAUGCAGGCGAUGGUAGCUGCCCCUCCUCAGGGAGACUGUGAAGACUAAGUGAGAUGGUGCCUGGCAAGCACUUCACAUGGUGCCUUGUUAGUCUGUCCUCUUCCUUCUUUAGAAAAAGGGCCCCAGUGGAGAGGCAGGACCCUGCCCCAUGAAAGAGGGACGCAUGCCUAAAAAGAGCAAAGGGGCCUCUUUCACAAAAUCAUAGGAUGUCUGAACAGAAGGUCUGGGUGGAUGCAACUUCUGGGAACCCAGCCAGGAGUGAAGUCUUCCCUGGAGAAAAUUUCCCCAGCAAGAAGCCCUGGAGCAGGAAAGCUAGGAUGACCAGACUAGUUGACCAAAUUCAAAUUUCAAAUCCUGCGUUCAGACUUGCCGAGGGAUGACAUCCUGACCAAAGAGAAGACUGAUCUCCGUGGAAUCUAAGAUAAGAAUCUAAGAUAAAACAUGACACACGUGAGCACCAAACAGUUGGUGUAUCUGUGGUUUCUGGGUUUUGCUCAGUAAACCUCAAAGGCACCAUCCUCAGGCAUUGAGAUGAAUGUCAGGAGACCAGGGGCCUCUGACACUGGGCCAUCAGCACCAAAGUGGUAGCAGAGGCACCUGUGUCCAUUUGCUCAGACUGCUAUAAUAAAGUCCCAUGGACCGGGAUGCUUAAACAACAGAAAUUUCUUGUCUCAUGUUCUGGUGGCUGGAAAUGUGAAAUUGAGGUGUGGACAGGGUUUGUUACUUCUAAGGGAGAUAAGGGAAUGGUCUGUUCCAGGUCUCUCUCUUUGUCUUGUGGGUGGCCAUCUUCCCCCGUGUUUUUUUUUUUUUAAUUUUUCAUUUAUUUAUUUUUGACUGCUCUGGGUCUUUGUUAUUGCGCACAGGCUUUCUCUUGUGGUGUGUGGGCUUCUCACUGCAGUGACUUUCUUAUUGUGGCUCACCAGCUCUCGAGCUCGGGCUCAAUAGUUGUGGCCCACGGGCUUUAGUUGCUUAGUGGUAUGUGGGAUCUUCCUAGACCAGGGAUUGAACCCGGGUCACCUGCAUAGCAGUUAACCACUGGACCACCAGGGACGUCUUCCCAUCCCCUCCCCAUGUCUGCAUCGUCUUCCUUUUGUGCAUGUCUGUGUCCAGAUUUCCCCUUCUUACAAGAACACCAGUCAUAUUGAAUUAGGGCCCACCCUAAUCAUGUCACUUUAAAUUAAUUACCUCUUUAAUGGCCCUCUCUCCAAAUGCAGCCACAUUCUGAGGUACUUGGGAUGUAGGGAUCCAGCAUAUGAAUUCUGGGGCCAGUUCAACCCAUUGCAGUCUUUUACCAACUGGUCUGAACUUCAUCAGCAGAGAAAUAAUGGGUGAGCCUGUGUUUUCCCAGAUUUCUCCCACUUUUAAGCAGAUUAAGGUUCAGCCUAGAAUCGUGCAUUGACCUGCCAAAUGCAACUGAAUGUGUAACUUAGACCAUGUCAUCUUUCCAGGUUAACAUUUAUUUAUAAACCGCAGGUAAUAAAAAUAACAUCUAUUUGUCUCCCUCAGAACACUUAAGGUGUUCUGAGCCUUAAAUUAUGGAUGCAGCAAUUAUGCUUUUCAGAACCAAGCAUUAUCAGUCCUUAGGACAGACGACUCAGGCAAACCAGCCAGCAGCACCAGCAGCAGCACAAAACAACCUUUCAGACCCACACGAGAGGACAAGAUUGUAAUGCCUCCGUGACAGCAUUGCUUUAUUGAUGCAAGGGCUGUCUCAGGAGCUGAAAUGGGCCAGUUACAAACAGAAUUGGUUCUGCUGUCAUAGAAAACCACAAAAGCAUAUGUGUUUUCAGACACAAAAGCUACCACACUUUCUUUGGAAAACAAGGCACAGGUGAAAAAAAAAAAAAUCUCACUUCUAAACAGAAUGGAAAGCAUGGCUAACUUGAGAUUUAUUUAAUUACAGUGUCUUUCUCCGGGCUAAUCAGUUUUAAAACCCAUUCAUAUUGGUGCCGAUGAGCCAAUAAAAGAUCCAGAAGAAAAGAAGUAUUAUAUCAAUGCAGAGAAACAAGGUUGUUUUUUUUAAAGCAUUGAAUUAAUGUUUACACCACUGAGUCAGAUUAUUUAUACAUAGGCUACAGGUUUUGCAUCUCCAGAAUUUGUUGGCACUUAGAAUAUGAUAAAUUGUACCUGACUGACUUGUGAAAAAUCAUCUCGAGAAAGAUUUUUCCCCCUGGGAAAAUAUGGAAAUGACACAUGGUGUGUACAGCCAGAAACAGCGAAAGGAAAGGAGGGUUUUGAGCUGUCACAGUGGAUGGUUAAGAAUUUCAGCUUUGGGGCAGAAGUUUUGCUCAAGUCACAUUACCUCAAAACCUGAUCGUCUUCAUCUCUAGAUUAGGUUCCAAGUUCAGGUAUUUCUGUAUAUAUUCAAUGGGAUAGGGACUUUCCUGGUGGUCUAGUCAUUAAGAAUCCACCUGCCAAUCAGGGGCAUGGGUUCGGUCCCCGGUCAGGGAACUAAAUCCCACAUGCCACGGGGCAGCAUGCCGCAACUAAAGAAGCCUGAACAUUGGAUAGAAGACCCAGCACAGCCAAAAAAAUUCAGUGGGGUAAUGCAUGCACAAAGUUCAACAUUAACCUCCCAGAGGCCAAAUAAGAAUCCAGUAAAUGCUAAUGUCUCUAUCAUUAUCAAAGGGAAUCUUUGCAUGCUUUAUCUCUCAUCUGGAAAAAAUUCACAAAAAAGGAUUAAAUUUGUUGGGGGAAAAAAGGUGAAUCUUGGGUCCCCCUUAGCACAUGUGCACUCCAUCCUUUCUAAAAAGUGAAGUUUGUAAGUUUACAGGUUUUAGGGAGAAAGGGAAGCAACCAGAAUGCUCCUACAUUACUGGUGGGGAUGUCAAAGGUCACAGACCUUUUGGAAACUCUUUUGUGGCUCCUCAACAGUUAAACAUAGAUACAGCCCAGAAGUCCCACUCCUAGGUGUAUACUCAGAAGUGAAAACAUGCGUUCAUAUAAAAACUUGUUCAUAAAUGUUCAUUUCAGGAUUGCUGAAGUGAAAUGUUAGUUGCUCAGUCACAUCUGACUCUUUGCGACCCCGUGGACUGUGGCCUCUGGGCUCCUCUAUCCAUGGGAUUCUCCAGGCAAGAAUACUGGAGUGGGUAGCCAUGCCCUUUUCCCGGGGUUUCUCCCAAUCCAGGGAUCGAACCCGAGUCUCCUUCACUGCAGGUGAAUUCUUUAUAGCUGAGCCAUCUGGGAGGCCCUAGAAAGACACAGCUCAAUUGUCUAUUGACAUGAUAGACAGAUAAAAUAGAUUUAAUAAAAAUGUUGAACAGCCAUACCAUGGAAUUUUAUUUGGCAACAAUAAGGUGUGGACAUAAGCUACAAGUGGAUCAAACUUGAAAACAUGAUUCUAGUUGUGAAGAAACCAGUCACAAAAGGCUACGUACUGCAUGACUUCAUUCAUAUGAAACAUCCAGAAUAAACAACUCCAUAGAGACAGAAAGGAAUUAGUGAUUGCCUGGGGCUGGGAGGGAAGGCAGGUAUGGGGAGUGAUUGCUAAUGGAUAUAAGGUAUUUUUGUUUGGUUUCGUUUAUCUUCAUAUUUACUAAUAUUUGUUUGGCUGUGCCAGGUCUUAGUUGUGGCAUCCCGGAACUUCAGUCUUCAUUUGUGGCAUGUGGGAUCUAGUUCCCUGGUUCUUCAGGGAUCAAACCCAGGUCCCUUGCAUUGGGAGCACAGUCUCAGCCACUGGACCGCCAGGAAAGUCCCCAGGGUUCCUUUUUGCAAUGAUAAAAAUUUUCUGGAAUUAGAUAGUUAUGAUGGUUGUACAGCUUUGUGAAUAGUCUCUAAAACACUGAACUGUACCUUCUAAAAUGGUGAAUUUUGUGGUUUACCAAUUGUAUCUGGAAAAAAAUCAGUGAAUGGUUAAUGUGGAAAAAAAGAAGAUAGAGAAGCCAAUAUUGUCAUUGUAGCAUCCAGAGAUAAUCACUGCAAAUGCUUUGAUGUAGAUCCUUCCAGACUGAUGUAAAUAUAUAUAUAUCAAAAAAUAAUAAUAAAAUGGUGUCAUACUGUA